This 489-nucleotide ribosomal RNA is filed under the name bacterium enrichment culture clone NKeF3NA1. Its description in RNAcentral is "bacterial SSU rRNA". It matches the Rfam family "Bacterial small subunit ribosomal RNA", at positions 35 to 526 of the family's 1533-position model. The record is from RNAcentral.
GCUGGCGGCGUGCCUAACACAUGCAAGUCGAACGAGAAAGAGAUCUUCGGAUCUUGAGUAGAGUGGCGCACGGGUGAGUAACACGUGGAUAACCUGCCCUAUGAUCUGGGAUAACAUUUCGAAAGAGGUGCUAAUACCGGAUAAGCCCACACAAUCUUCGGAGCGAGUGGGAAAAGAUUUAUCGUCAUAGGAUGGGUCCGCGGUCCAUUAGCUAGUUGGUGGGGUAACGGCCUACCAAGGCCACGAUGGAUAGCUGGUCUGAGAGGAUGAUCAGCCACACUGGAACUGAGACACGGUCCAGACUCCUACGGGAGGCAGCAGUGGGGAAUUUUGCGCAAUGGGGGAAACCCUGACGCAGCAACGCCGCGUGAAGGAUGAAGGCCUUUGGGUCGUAAACUUCUGUCAGUGGGGAAGAAAUGCCCGUAAGGGAGAUGACGGUACCCGCAAAGGAAGCACCGGCUAACUCCGUGCCAGCAGCCGCGGUAAUAC